This 495-nucleotide ribosomal RNA is filed under the name uncultured soil bacterium. Its description in RNAcentral is "bacterial SSU rRNA". It matches the Rfam family "Bacterial small subunit ribosomal RNA", at positions 26 to 522 of the family's 1533-position model. The record is from RNAcentral.
AGAUUGAACGCUGGCGGAAUGCUUUACACAUGCAAGUCGAGCGGCAGCGCGGGGCAACCUGGCGGCGAGCGGCGAACGGGUGAGUAAUGCAUCGGAACAUGUCCAUUCGUGGGGGAUAGCCCGGCGAAAGCCGGAUUAAUACCGCAUACGCCCUGAGGGGGAAAGUGGGGGACCGCAAGGCCUCACGCGAUUGGGUUGCCGAUGUCCGAUUAGCUAGUUGGCGGGGUAAGAGCCCACCAAGGCGAUGAUCGGUAGCUGGUCUGAGAGGAUGAUCAGCCACACUGGGACUGAGACACGGCCCAGACUCCUACGGGAGGCAGCAGUGGGAAUUUUGGACAAUGGGGAAACCCUGAUCCAGCCAUUCCGCGUGAGUGAAGAAGGCCUUCGGGUUGUAAAGACUCUUUUGUCCGGAACGAAACGGUUAGUAGUGAAUAGCGCUGACUACUGACGUACCGGAGAAUAAGCACCGCUAACUACGUGCCAGCAGCCGCGUAA